GACGAACGCUGGCGGCGUGCUUAACACAUGCAAGUCGAACGGAAAGGCCCUGCUUUUGUGGGGUGCUCGAGUGGCGAACGGGUGAGUAACACGUGAGUAACCUGCCCUUGACUUUGGGAUAACUUCGGGAAACUGGGGCUAAUACCGGAUAGGAGCUCCUGCUGCAUGGUGGGGGUUGGAAAGUUUCGGCGGUUGGGGAUGGACUCGCGGCUUAUCAGCUUGUUGGUGGGGUAGUGGCUUACCAAGGCUUUGACGGGUAGCCGGCCUGAGAGGGUGACCGGCCACAUUGGGACUGAGGUACGGCCCAGACUCCUACGGGAGGCAGAAGUGGGGAAUAUUGCACAAUGGGCGGAAGCCUGAUGCAGCAACGCCGCGUGCGGGAUGACGGCCUUCGGGUUGUAAACCGCUUUCGCCUGUGACGAAGCGUGAGUGACGGUAAUGGGUAAAGAAGCACCGGCUAACUACGUG
This 468-nucleotide ribosomal RNA is filed under the name uncultured bacterium. Its description in RNAcentral is "partial 16S ribosomal RNA". It matches the Rfam family "Bacterial small subunit ribosomal RNA", at positions 28 to 507 of the family's 1533-position model. The record is from RNAcentral.